UGGAAAGCAAAACAAAAUUGACUGACCCGAACUAAGCGUCAGUCGAAUCAGCCCAAAAGAAAAAAAACAUCACUGAUCCAGCGCUGAAACCCCUUUUGAUGUUUUGCCAUCUAUACAACCCAAAAUUAAACGGGCCUGACCCUGCUAAGAAACCAAACCCACUACCUUCAGAGAUCUGGAUCCAGCUCACGGACAUAUAACUAGGUCUUCUUCCUUGUCCCUCCUUCCCCCAUCACCAGCGGCGCCACCAUGGACGCAUGAACAAAACUCAGAUACUGCCGCCCUCUGGUGUCUCGAUAGAUCUCCAUCCUCUCCAUUUCUUCCAUGCUACGUCCUUCUCCUCCGAUUGCCCAAAGUUCUUGUAGAGAGAACUAAACUUGUAGUAGUUGUUCAACAACAACAAAUAAUUAGAAAAGUUAUAUUCUGUCUCUUUACUGCCCAGCAAAAAAGAUGUAACUGGAACUAGAAAAAUAUAGUGACAACACCAGAAUACACAUUUGCUGUUAGAAAUUCAGACAAUUGAACAAUACAAAUUCAUACUAUAACUUAUGACUAAAAAAUAACAUGUUUGUACUUGUACUAAAAGAUGUUGAACUACAAGAAAGGCAGAACACCCACCUAAAGGCAGAAAUUGAAAGUUUAAUCAUAAGAAGUAAAAUUGCGCCUGUUUGUAAUACAGGUUGUUGAAUAAGUAGAGCAGAACACCACCCUAAAAUCAAAAUUUAAAACAUUUCUUCAUAUGAACUAAACUUGCAUAUACAUAAAUCUGAACUUGCAACUGUUGGUCAAGAGCAACAUAUAAAAAAAUAGUGCAAAUAGCAUGUCUACAAUAUUAGAAAAGUUAAUCGUAACAUCUACCCCCCUAGUUCAAUUACAAAAUGUUUGAAAACAGCUAAGGCAGAACACCUCGGUAAAUUUUACAAGUAGGGAGAACUAAACUUGUAGUAGUUGUUCAACAACAACACAUAAUUAGAAAAGUUAUAUUCUAUCUCUUUAGUGCCCAGCAAAAAAUGAUGUAACCAGAAAUAGAAAAAAAUAGUGAGACCACUUGAAUGUACAUUUGCUGUCAGAAAUUCAGAGAAUUGAACAAUACAAAUUCAUACUACACUAAAAAAUAACAUGUUUGUACUUGUACAAAAAAAAAUGUUGAACUACAAGAAAGGCAGAACACCCACCUAAAGGCAGAAAUUGAAAAUUUAAUCAUAAGAAGUAAAAUUGCGCCUGUUUGUAAUACAAGUUGUCGAACUACAAGUAGAGCAGAAAACCACCCUAAAAUCAGAGAUUAAAAAAUUUCUUCAUACGAACUAAACUUGCAUAUACGUAAAUCUAAACUUGCAAUUGUUGGUUAAGAGCAAC
RNAcentral lists this long non-coding RNA (1356 nucleotides) under Triticum aestivum (bread wheat). RNAcentral's name for it is "long non-coding RNA (TAES_LNC021530)". The record is from RNAcentral. Lineage: Eukaryota; Viridiplantae; Streptophyta; Magnoliopsida; Poales; Poaceae.